RNAcentral lists this ribosomal RNA (253 nucleotides) under uncultured bacterium. RNAcentral describes it as "partial 16S ribosomal RNA". It matches the Rfam family "Bacterial small subunit ribosomal RNA", at positions 524 to 776 of the family's 1533-position model. The record is from RNAcentral.
UACGGGGGGGGCAAGCGUUGUUCGGAAUUACUGGGCGUAAAGGGCUCGUAGGUGGCCAACUAAGUCAGACGUGAAAUCCCUCAGCUUAACUGGGGAACUGCGUCUGAUACUGGAUGGCUUGAGUUUGGGAGAGGGAAGCGGAAUUCCAGGUGUAGCGGUGAAAUGCGUAGAUAUCUGGAGGAAUACCGGUGGCGAAGGCGGCAUCCUGGACCGGCAUUGACGCUGAGGAGCGAAAGCCAGGGGAGCAAACGGG